UGGCCAUCUACAGCGCUGUACAUGCAAUUAGCAUACUGGCAAACAGCAAAUAACAACCCAUAUCGAACAUGCAAGCCAGGUGCAUCUCUUUUUUGGGGCUUGCCCACCGCUCCCUUUCCCCUCAUCUACUCCAUCCGCAUGCUACAUGCUGGCCCUGCUAGGCCCGCCUAGCCCGCUGCGCAUUGAUCCACAUCCCACACACAGCCAUCCCCGAGUUUCGCUCAACCAUGGCCUUGGAAUCAAGAUCGAGGAGAUCCUGCUUGUCAUAAGUGGCUGAACAUUGGUCAAAAACUCAGCUUCGUUCACCAUCAAAAUGGGGGUGUUAGCGCAACUAGUGACCUAAAACUAUCCGGGCCGACCAACAGCACAGAUCAAUCAGCGUUUGAAUUCCAGCAACCUUUUCCUCUUGAUUACGUUUUCAUCCGUCUACCGAAACUAAACCCCACCAUGGCUGUCCAGUGAGGAUUGAGAUAUCACACGUGGGAACGUCGUCUUUUAUUUAUUUUUUUUUGAUGAGUGCGGCUGUGGGAAUCUGUGAUCGACCAUCACGACCCUGCCAAGGAAUAAUUCUGCUGAGGUCGGUUUGUCUGGAUGCUUGGGAAGAG
RNAcentral lists this small RNA (605 nucleotides) under Histoplasma capsulatum. Its description in RNAcentral is "hypothetical RNA". Lineage: Eukaryota; Fungi; Ascomycota; Eurotiomycetes; Onygenales; Ajellomycetaceae. The record is from RNAcentral. RNAcentral also lists the same sequence under 1 other name.